GAUGAACGCUGGCGGCGUGCCUAAUACAUGCAAGUCGAGCGAAUGGAUUAAGAGCUUGCUCUUAUGAAGUUAGCGGCGGACGGGUGAGUAACACGUGGGUAACCUGACCAUAAGACUGGGAUAACUCCGGGAAACCGGGGCUAAUACCGGAUAACAUUUUGAACCGCAUGGUUCGAAAUUGAAAGGCGGCUUAGGCUGUCACUUAUGGAUGGACUCGCGUCGCAUUAGCUAGUUGGUGAGGUAACGGCUCACCAAGGCAACGAUGCGUAGCCGACCUGAGAGGGUGAUCGGCCACACUGGGACUGAGACACGGCCCAGACUCCUACGGGAGGCAGCAGUAGGGAAUCUUCCGCAAUGGACGAAAGUCUGACGGAGCAACGCCGCGUGAGUGAUGAAGGCUUUCGGGUCGUAAAACUCUGUUGUUAGGGAAGAACAAGUGCUAGUUGAAUAAGCUGGCACCUUGACGGUACCUAACCAGAAAGCCACGGCUAACUACGUGCCAGCCGCCGCGGUAA
RNAcentral lists this ribosomal RNA (515 nucleotides) under uncultured bacterium. RNAcentral's name for it is "partial 16S ribosomal RNA". It matches the Rfam family "Bacterial small subunit ribosomal RNA", at positions 28 to 523 of the family's 1533-position model. The record is from RNAcentral.